ACUGCUCGGUGCUCGAUCCGUGGGUGUACCACUCGGAAUCGGCGUGGAUCAGCGAGGUCUCUGCCCGCGAGAACGCGGCCGUCGCCAUGGCCCUCCAUAUCUCCCUCUCCGACACCACCACCUCAUCCUCCUCCUCCUCCUCCGCCGCCUCCGCCGACACCCUUUCCUCCCCUCUCCUCCUCCUCCAGCACCAACUCACUCCCCCCUCUUGCUCCUCUGCGUCCGGAGACGCCACCCUUCGCCGGCGGAAUGCCCUCGGCCCGGCCCUGCAGGGGCGGGUCUCGAAGAGGAAGUCGCACGCGUCGAAGCGAUCGGCCACCACCUACAUCUCCGCCGACCCGAUCGACUUCCAGGAGGUGGUGCAGCGGGCGACGGGGUUCCGGUUCGCGGGGGAGCCACUGGUGAAGCCCGAGCCGGUACGGUCCGCGGCGGGCGACCGGGCGGCCCUGCAACAGAUCCGCCUGCCCACGCU
This 472-nucleotide long non-coding RNA is filed under the name Musa acuminata (dwarf banana). RNAcentral describes it as "long non-coding RNA (MACU_LNC000666)". The record is from RNAcentral. Lineage: Eukaryota; Viridiplantae; Streptophyta; Magnoliopsida; Zingiberales; Musaceae.